RNAcentral lists this long non-coding RNA (448 nucleotides) under Salvia miltiorrhiza (redroot sage). RNAcentral's name for it is "long non-coding RNA (SMIL_LNC011557)". The record is from RNAcentral. Lineage: Eukaryota; Viridiplantae; Streptophyta; Magnoliopsida; Lamiales; Lamiaceae.
UCAGCACAGCGCGGAAAGCGCUGGCAAGGAAAUCCGCUCUGGCGGAAAGUACUGGAGGGGGCAGCUCUGGCGGGCAACUCUGAAGCCGGUCAGAUCCGGACAGCUCUGGCGUGAUAGCUCUGGCGGUCAGCUCUGGAGCCUCCGCUCUGGUAUGUCGUUAAGCUCUGCGGUCAGCUCUGGAUCCUCCGCUAUGGAUCAGCUCUGCUGGUAUCUGGCGGUCAGCUCUGUCGAUCAAUUCUGCGCGUACAGCUCUGCGGUCGGCACUGCGCAGACAGCACUGGCGGUCAGCACCGUGAGCUCUGGCGUGUCAACUCUGGCGGUCAGCUCUGGAGCCUCUGCUCUGGUAUGUCGUUCAGCUCUGGAGCCUCCGCUCUGGAAUGUCAGCUCUGGCAUCUCCGCACUGGCGGUCAGCUCUGGCGCCUCCGCUCUGGAGAGACGGUCAGCUCUG